This 505-nucleotide ribosomal RNA is filed under the name uncultured bacterium. RNAcentral's name for it is "partial 16S ribosomal RNA". It matches the Rfam family "Bacterial small subunit ribosomal RNA", at positions 28 to 507 of the family's 1533-position model. The record is from RNAcentral.
GACGAACGCUGGCGGCGUGCCUAAUACAUGCAAGUAGAACGCACAGUUUAUACCGUAGCUUGCUACACCAUAAACUGUGAGUUGCGAACGGGUGAGUAACGCGUAGGUAACCUGCCUGGUAGCGGGGGAUAACUAUUGGAAACGAUAGCUAAUACCGCAUAAUAUUGAUUAUUGCAUGAUAAUUGAUUGAAAGAUGCUAUUGCAUCACUACCAUAUGGACCUGCGUUGUAUUAGCUAGUAGGUGAGGUAACGGCUCACCUAGGCGACGAUACAUAGCCGACCUGAGAGGGUGAUCGGCCACACUGGGACUGAGACACGGCCCAGACUCCUACGGGAGGCAGCAGUAGGGAAUCUUCGGCAAUGGACGAAAGUCUGACCGAGCAACGCCGCGUGAGUGAAGAAGGUUUUCGGAUCGUAAAGCUCGGUUGUAAGAGAAGAACGGGUGUGAGAGUGGAAAGUUCACACUGUGACGGUAUCUUACCAGAAAGGGACGGCUAACUACGUG